Molecule: long non-coding RNA, 276 nt
Organism: Lycium ferocissimum
Lineage: Eukaryota; Viridiplantae; Streptophyta; Magnoliopsida; Solanales; Solanaceae
Exons: 3
Source: RefSeq, a predicted model, not a curated record
UAAAUUUGACCACUAUCCAAGAAAAUUCCAACGCUACUUUUAGCAAAAAGCUUUUUGGAUUAGGAGAAGAGGGUAUUUCCAAUAAUCAGAUCAAAAACUCCUAACCGUAGAAAAUCAACCAUGUCUUCCAAGCAAGGUGGAAAGGCAAAGCCUUUGAAGGCACCAAAGUCUGAAAAGAAGGAGUACGACGAGAAUGAUAAGGCUUUUCUUGCAAAGAAGAAGGAAGAGGAAAAGGCGCUAAAGGAGCUCAAGGCAAAGGCUCAGAAAGGGUCCAUU